GACGAACGCUGGCGGCGUGCUUAACACAUGCAAGUCGAACGGAAAGGCCCCUUUGGGGGUCCUCGAGUGGCGCACGGGUGAGUAACACGUGGGUAACCUGCCCUUGACUUCGGGAUAACUUCAGGAAACUGGGGCUAAUACCGGAUAGGAAUCCUUGCUGCAGGGUGGGGGUUGGAAAGCUUCGGCGGUUUUGGAUGGACUCGCGGCUUAUCAGCUUGUUGGUGGGGUAGUGGCUUACCAAGGCUUUGACGGGUAGCCGGCCUGAGAGGGCGACCGGCCACAUUGGGACUGAGAUACGGCCCAGACGCCUACGGGAGGCAGCAGUGGGGAAUAUUGCACAAUGGGCGGAAGCCGGAUGCAGCAACGCCGCGUGCGGGAUGACGGCCUUCGGGUUGUAAACCGCUUUCAGCAGGGGCGAAGCUUGUGGUGACGGUACCUGCAGAAGAAGCACCGGCUAACUACGUG
Molecule: ribosomal RNA, 465 nt
Filed under: uncultured bacterium
Lineage: Bacteria
Description: partial 16S ribosomal RNA
Rfam family: Bacterial small subunit ribosomal RNA
Source: RNAcentral